GAUAAUGACAGUACCUNGAAAAAGGAAACCCCGGCGAACUCCGUGCCAGCAGCCGCGGUAAUACGGAGGGGGUUAGCGUUGUUCGGAAUUACUGGGCGUAAAGCGUACGUAGGCGGAUCAGAAAGUUAGGGGUGAAAUCCCGAGGCUCAACCUCGGAACUGCCUCUAAAACUCCUGGUCUUGAGUUCGAGAGAGGUGAGUGGAAUUCCAAGUGUAGAGGUGAAAUUCGUAGAUAUUUGGAGGAACACCAGUGGCGAAGGCGGCUCACUGGCUCGAUACUGACGCUGAGGUACGAAAGUGUGGGGAGCAAACAGGAUUAGAUACCCUGGUAGUCCACACCGUAAACGAUGAAUGCCAGUCGUCGGGCAGUAUACUGUUCGGUGACACACCUAACGGAUUAAGCAUUCCGCCUGGGGAGUACGGUCGCAAGAUUAAAACUCAAAGGAAUUGACAG
Molecule: ribosomal RNA, 453 nt
Filed under: uncultured marine bacterium
Lineage: Bacteria
Description: bacterial SSU rRNA
Rfam family: Bacterial small subunit ribosomal RNA
Source: RNAcentral